AGGUCAGGUCCUCAGCGAAACACGGAGGGGUGAGAACACAGAAACCAGGAAGUCUCCGUAUCUGGCAGUGAGUGUCUGCACACCUGGAAUACCCUCAGAGCCUGGUCAGGGGUCUCCCAUCUCUCCCGGCCGAAAGUCCCAUCCUUCCCCUAUUCAAGUCCCUAUCCAAGUUGAAAAGCCUAAGAGCCAGGAGCACGGAUGUCUGGUGUCUGAGGGCAGGAGCAGACAGGUGUCCCAAAUCAGAUGCUAAAAAGCCCACGUGACGAGCUGAAGUGAGAAGAAUGGCACUGGCUUGGUGGUGAAGCGUUAGGUUACCUCGGAUCUCCCGAGGAUGUCAGAAGAAAGACCACCUGCUUUCAGAUCGUGGUUGACCGCAGGUCAGAGCCCCACAUGAUGUCUUGAGGAAAGGAAAAGUGAUCAAGAUCCCUGCCAAUUCCAUCAUAAAGUGGGCCUGGAGAACUGAUGUUCCCCCAAGGCUAAAUAAGAACGUUGGAUGAGGAGAUGGUGGGAAUCACCACCCCCGCAUCUUUCAAGUCCCUGAUGGAGGCACUGAUCUCUGCAACCCAACAGGAAUGUGGUAUUGCUUUUGAUUCAUUAUUUUCCGAAGUAGAGAUGGUUCUAG
Long non-coding RNA from Mustela erminea (ermine), 622 nucleotides. RefSeq lists it as uncharacterized. The transcript has 5 exons. NCBI's taxonomy places the organism in Eukaryota, Metazoa, Chordata, Mammalia, Carnivora, Mustelidae. The record is from RefSeq and is a predicted model, not a curated record.